CCUACGGGAGGCUGCAGUGGGGAAUAUUGCACAAUGGGCGCAAGCCUGAUGCAGCCAUGCCGCGUGUGUGAAGAAGGCCUUCGGGUUGUAAAGCACUUUCAGCGGGGAGGAAGGCGGUGAGGUUAAUACCCCCAUCGAUUGACGUUACCCGCAGAAGAAGCACCGGCUAACUCCGUGCCAGCAGCCGCGGUAAUACGGAGGGUGCAAGCGUUAAUCGGAAUUACUGGGCGUAAAGCGCACGCAGGCGGUCUGUCAAGUCGGAUGUGAAAUCCCCGGGCUCAACCUGGGAACUGCAUUCGAAACUGGCAGGCUAGAGUCUUGUAGAGGGGGGUAGAAUUCCAGGUGUAGCGGUGAAAUGCGUAGAGAUCUGGAGGAAUACCGGUGGCGAAGGCGGCCCCCUGGACAAAGACUGACGCUCAGGUGCGAAAGCGUGGGGAGCAAACAGGAUUAGAUACCCGAGUAGUC
RNAcentral lists this ribosomal RNA (465 nucleotides) under uncultured Klebsiella sp. RNAcentral describes it as "bacterial SSU rRNA". It matches the Rfam family "Bacterial small subunit ribosomal RNA", at positions 338 to 795 of the family's 1533-position model. The record is from RNAcentral. Lineage: Bacteria; Pseudomonadati; Pseudomonadota; Gammaproteobacteria; Enterobacterales; Enterobacteriaceae.